This 406-nucleotide ribosomal RNA is filed under the name uncultured bacterium. RNAcentral's name for it is "bacterial SSU rRNA". It matches the Rfam family "Bacterial small subunit ribosomal RNA", at positions 355 to 776 of the family's 1533-position model. The record is from RNAcentral.
UGGGGAAUAUUGCACAAUGGGGGAAACCCUGAUGCAGCAACGCCGCGUGAGCGAAGAAGUAUUUCGGUAUGUAAAGCUCUAUCAGCAGGGAAGAAGAAAGACGGUACCUGACUAAGAAGCACCGGCUAAAUACGUGCCAGCAGCCGCGGUAAUACGUAUGGUGCAAGCGUUAUCCGGAUUUACUGGGUGUAAAGGGAGCGCAGGCGGCCGUGCAAGCCAGAGGUGAAAACCCGGGGCUCAACCCCGCGGAUUGCCUUUGGAACUGUAUGGCUUGAGUACUGGAGGGGCAGGCGGAAUUCCUGGUGUAGCGGUGAAAUGCGUAGAUAUCAGGAGGAACACCGGUGGCGAAGGCGGCCUGCUGGACAGAAACUGACGCUGAGGCUCGAAAGCGUGGGGAGCAAACAGG